This 252-nucleotide ribosomal RNA is filed under the name uncultured bacterium. RNAcentral's name for it is "partial 16S ribosomal RNA". It matches the Rfam family "Bacterial small subunit ribosomal RNA", at positions 524 to 776 of the family's 1533-position model. The record is from RNAcentral.
GACGGAGGAUGCAAGUGUUAUCCGGAAUCACUGGGCGUAAAGCGUCUGUAGGUUGUUUAAAAAGUCUGCAGUUAAAGGUUGAAGCUUAACUUCAAAAAUGCCGUAGAAACUUUUAACUAGAGGAUGGUAGGGUAGAGGGAAUUUCCGAGUGGAGCGGUGAAAUGUGUAGAUAUUGGAAAGACCACCGAUGGCGAAGGCACUCUACUGGGCCAUGACUGACACUGAGAGACGAAAGCUAGGGGAGCAAAUGGG